This 189-nucleotide ribosomal RNA is filed under the name uncultured bacterium. RNAcentral's name for it is "partial 16S ribosomal RNA". It matches the Rfam family "Bacterial small subunit ribosomal RNA", at positions 1312 to 1500 of the family's 1533-position model. The record is from RNAcentral.
UCGCCUGCAUGAAGUCGGAAUUGCUAGUAAUCGCAGAUCAGCAUGCUGCGGUGAAUACGUUCCCGGGCCUUGUACACACCGCCCGUCACACCAUGGGAGUCGGUAACACCCGAAGUCGGUAGCCUAACCGUAAGGAGGGCGCCGCCGAAGGUGGGAUUGAUGACUGGGGUGAAGUCGUAACAAGGUAGC